Molecule: long non-coding RNA, 963 nt
Organism: Chelonia mydas (Green sea turtle)
Lineage: Eukaryota; Metazoa; Chordata; Testudines; Cheloniidae
Exons: 3
Source: RefSeq, a predicted model, not a curated record
GGGAGUUGUAGUUCCCAGAUAGACCUGGGAACUGUAGGCUAGUAGCAGAGCAUGCUGGGAAGAAAGGCUUGCUUUGCUGAGUUUGGAGAGAGAUGUGAAAGGAGCAAGAGUGGCUGUUGGGUUGCAACAGAGAUGCUUAGGCAGGGCUUUGGAAGAACCUGAGAAAAGACUGGAGAUGAGGCCUACAGGAAACUUCAAAAUUGCAGCUUAUUCCGAUUCAGAACAAAGAAUUCAGAAUGUCCCGUGGAAUGGAAAUUCUGGUUCCUGACCCACCCGCUCUACUCCUUUGAGGAAAGGCCAUAAGAGGAUGCUACCUCAUCAUUCUACCUGGAAGCAGCAGGACAAAAGGAGUUUGGAGAUGAAGAUUUCCUCGCUCAGUGUCUUCAGUGAAGUGAAUUGAAUGGCUUCUGCCCUCGUUCCUUAGGAGAUGGCAGAGCGAUUUCAAUUGCUGAAAGAGCCCCACUAAACAAAAAACAAUUGCACAGCAGUGUUGGUGCCACAAAUCACUUCUCUUUUCAUCCUUGGGCACCAUGUGACCUUCCCCACACACCGUCUCACAAUAGCCUGAAACUCAUUUUCAUUGUAAAUAACGCCAGUCAGGAAAGAGACUGCUCCUGCCAGUGCUCAGCUGGCACGUCUGGAUGAAUACGAACAUGUUUUGCAUGCCUUUUCAUAUGAAGAUCUCAAAUUGCUAUACAGUUUGAAUGCUAAUUAAGUCAGCUUCUUCCUAUCCCUGUACGGAAGCAGAAAAAGAUACAGGGACAGCUGGCCCACCAGGGAAAUAUAGCCACUGCAGAAUAGUGCACCACAAAGUGAAUAGCAUGUCCAAGCGAGUGGGAGCUGGGAAGAAUAUAACUAGGGUUUUUACCGGGACACUGUUACUCUUAUGGAAAAUUCCGCAGGGAUUCUUCCUGGCCACAAGCGUUCAGCAUUUUGGCUUUGCAUUUGCACCUUUAGCUAUCC